UCGCGAGAGCUAGCAAUCCCAUAAACCGUGGCUCAGUUCAGAUCGUAGGCUGCAACUCGCCUACGUGAAGGAGGAAUCGCUAGUAAUCGCAGGUCAGCAUACUGCGGUGAAUACGUUCCCGGGCCUUGUACACACCGCCCGUCACACCAUGGAAGUUGGCCACGCCCGAAGCCGUUACUCCAACCCUUGUGGAGGAGGACGUCGAAGGUGGGGCUGAUGACUGGGGUGAAGUCGUAACAAGGUAGCCGUACCGGAAGGUGCGGCUGGAUCACCUCCUAACA
This 281-nucleotide ribosomal RNA is filed under the name uncultured Synechococcus sp. RNAcentral's name for it is "partial 16S ribosomal RNA". It matches the Rfam family "Bacterial small subunit ribosomal RNA", at positions 1255 to 1533 of the family's 1533-position model. Lineage: Bacteria; Bacillati; Cyanobacteriota; Cyanophyceae; Synechococcales; Synechococcaceae. The record is from RNAcentral.